AAGUCGUAACAAGGUCUCCGUUGGUGAACCAGCGGAGGGAUCAUUACCGAGUUUACAACUCCCAAACCCCUGUGAACAUACCAUAACGUUGCCUCGGCGGAUCACCGCGCCCCGUAACACGGGACGGCCCGCCAGAGGACUCCCAAACCCACUGUAUUAUAAAGUAUCUUCUGAGUAACACAAACAAAUAAAUUAAAACUUUCAACAACGGAUCUCUUGGCUCUG
This 225-nucleotide unclassified non-coding RNA is filed under the name air metagenome. RNAcentral's name for it is "partial contains small subunit ribosomal RNA, internal transcribed spacer 1, and 5.8S ribosomal RNA". The stretch from base 1 to 46 matches the Rfam family "Eukaryotic small subunit ribosomal RNA", at positions 1786 to 1831 of the family's 1831-position model. The record is from RNAcentral.